RNAcentral lists this ribosomal RNA (397 nucleotides) under uncultured Comamonas sp. RNAcentral describes it as "bacterial SSU rRNA". It matches the Rfam family "Bacterial small subunit ribosomal RNA", at positions 982 to 1382 of the family's 1533-position model. The record is from RNAcentral. Lineage: Bacteria; Pseudomonadati; Pseudomonadota; Betaproteobacteria; Burkholderiales; Comamonadaceae.
GUACAUGUACGGAAGUCCUUUAGAGAUAGAGGAGUGCUCGAAAGAGAGCCGUAACACAGGUGCUGCAUGGCUGUCGUCAGCUCGUGUCGUGAGAUGUUGGGUUAAGUCCCGCAACGAGCGCAACCCUUGUCAUUAGUUGCUACGAAAGGGCACUCUAAUGAGACUGCCGGUGACAAACCGGAGGAAGGUGGGGAUGACGUCAAGUCCUCAUGGCCCUUAUAGGUGGGGCUACACACGUCAUACAAUGGCUGGUACAAAGGGUUGCCAACCCGCGAGGGGGAGCCAAUCCCAUAAAGCCAGCCGUAGUCCGGAUCGCAGUCUGCAACUCGACUGCGUGAAGUCGGAAUCGCUAGUAAUCGUGGAUCAGAAUGUCACGGUGAAUACGUUCCCGGGUCUU